RNAcentral lists this long non-coding RNA (587 nucleotides) under Ananas comosus (pineapple). RNAcentral's name for it is "long non-coding RNA (ACOM_LNC000145)". Lineage: Eukaryota; Viridiplantae; Streptophyta; Magnoliopsida; Poales; Bromeliaceae. The record is from RNAcentral.
GAGAGAGAGAAGACAGAGUUGAACUGGAAUGCUAUUAGCAGUAAACGAGCACCGUUAUCAUCCAUUUGUUUUCUAUGAUGGAGCCUCCAAAUCGACGAUCGAUAUCAUUGAACAUGAUUUAUACUACUUGAAGUAUCUAAAAACUAAAUUUCAUUCUUUAUUGAUAUUGCUCUCCUGUCCAUCAAGUGGACACAAAAAUAAACGAUUGCAGAUGAAUAUGCUUUAAAAAGUGAUGAUAGGAGUCGUGUAAUCAAGAUCAAGAGUAUAGAUCUUGUUUUAAAUAGUUGGAAGAAUUUUCUAACCAAAAUUCAAUUGAUAUGGAUAUCUUUACGCCGUUAAAUAAAAAAAACGUUUUAUAUUGACCAUUAAAAUUAUAAAUUUUAAAAUUCUUUGAUCAUUAAGCCAAUAAUGUUGAAAAGAUUUGAAAUUUGAUUUUUAGAUAUUUUAAGUGAUAUAGAUCAUAUUCAACGAUACUGAUCAUCGAUUUGGAGAUUAUAUCAUCGAAAAUAAAUAGGUGGCAAAAGAACCGUUUGCUAUUAAUAAUAUUUCAGCUCAACUCUCUCUCCCUCUAUAUGUCAUUUUUCCAA